RNAcentral lists this ribosomal RNA (301 nucleotides) under uncultured bacterium. RNAcentral's name for it is "partial 16S ribosomal RNA". It matches the Rfam family "Bacterial small subunit ribosomal RNA", at positions 509 to 807 of the family's 1533-position model. The record is from RNAcentral.
CAGCAGCCGCGGUAAUACGAAGGGUGCAAGCGUUACUCGGAAUUACUGGGCGUAAAGCGUGCGUAGGUGGUGGUUUAAGUCCGUUGUGAAAGCCCUGGGCUCAACCUGGGAAUUGCAGUGGAUACUGGGUCACUAGAGUGUGGUAGAGGAUAGUGGAAUUUCCGGUGUAGCAGUGAAAUGCGUAGAGAUCUGGAGGAAUACCGAUGGCGAAGGCAGCCAUCUGGCCUAAUACUGACGCUGAGGUACGAAAGCAUGGGGAGCAAACAGGAUUAGAUACCCGUGUAGUCCCUGUCUCUUAUAC